RNAcentral lists this ribosomal RNA (498 nucleotides) under uncultured bacterium. RNAcentral describes it as "partial 16S ribosomal RNA". It matches the Rfam family "Bacterial small subunit ribosomal RNA", at positions 899 to 1397 of the family's 1533-position model. The record is from RNAcentral.
ACUCAAAUGAAUAGACGGGGACCCGCACAAGCGGUGGAGCAUGUGGUUUAAUUCGAUGCAACGCGAAGAACCUUACCUGGUCUUGACAUGUUGGGAAUCCCGAAGAGAUUUGGGAGUGCCGCAAGGAGCCCAAACACAGGUGCUGCAUGGCUGUCGUCAGCUCGUGUCGUGAGAUGUUGGGUUAAGUCCCGCAACGAGCGCAACCCUUGUCCUUAGUUGCCAGCAUUAAGUUGGGCACUCUAAGGAGACCGCCGGUGACAAACCGGAGGAAGGUGGGGAUGACGUCAAGUCAUCAUGGCCUUUAUGACCAGGGCUACACACGUGCUACAAUGGUAAGUACAGAGGGAAGCCAACUCGCGAGAGGGAGCCAAUCCCAGAAAACUUAUCGUAGUCCGGAUCGGAGUCUGCAACUCGACUCCGUGAAGUCGGAAUCGCUAGUAAUCGCAGAUCAGCAUUGCUGCGGUGAAUACGUUCCCGGGUCUUGCACACACCGCCCGU